Suricata suricatta (meerkat) is the source of this 780-nucleotide long non-coding RNA. RefSeq lists it as uncharacterized. The record is from RefSeq and is a predicted model, not a curated record. Lineage: Eukaryota; Metazoa; Chordata; Mammalia; Carnivora; Herpestidae. The transcript is spliced from 3 exons.
UCUGCCCUCGACCCGUGUUUUCCAAGCUCCUCGCAUUCGCUCGCGGACCCAGUACCCAUAGCACAGGCCUCAGACCCGGGACAUUCCACCCCUAAGCCGUCACCUCCGGAGAUCCGAAGACACCGCGCCCUGGGCCCUGAGAUCCAGGAACCCUCAGGCCAAAGAUUGCCAAACCAUGCCUGGCAAUGUUGGGCUUCUCACUUCAGGGCCUCAGAAGCUGGGAAUGCCAAACUUGAGAUCUUUAGAGCUGGACCUGUCCCACCCAGGCUUCCCGGGCCCAAGGAUUAUAGGACCCAGAAAAGCGGCCUUUGGGAUGAGCCUCUCACAUGUUUAAAAGCAGCAGUCUAUUAAAAGGCAACCAGAUAUCCUUGAAGGAUGAUUCAACUUUUUAGUUCCAUUUUUUAAGUUGAUUUUGCUCCAACCCCAAACGUCUCUGAAGAUGUUGAGAAUUCUUGUGUCUGCUGUGUUUCUAAUCCAAAUGAAGGCAAGCCAAGAACAAAGAAAGUGAAACAUUUGGGACCCUGGAAAUACUGAAGUGCAGCCCAAGAGUCAUUUCACAGCACUCCUGUUCUGCUCAGAUAGAGCCGGUUAAUAAAUUAUGCCAACACAUGAGACAUUCAGAGUGCCACAGCCACUCAGAGUGACAGUCAACCCUUGCUAGAGUAUGUUUUAAUAUAAAGACUUAGUAGAUAUAAUAGCAAUUUUCUUCGGGAGUAAAUUGGUCUGUGAAUCAUACUCUAAGAACAUAAAAGAAAAAUGACUAAUAAUUUAGCACGAAAU